RNAcentral lists this ribosomal RNA (484 nucleotides) under uncultured bacterium. RNAcentral describes it as "bacterial SSU rRNA". It matches the Rfam family "Bacterial small subunit ribosomal RNA", at positions 8 to 518 of the family's 1533-position model. The record is from RNAcentral.
AGGGUUCGAUUCUGGCUCAGGAUGAACGCUGGCGGCGUGCCUAACACAUGCAAGUCGAGCGAUUCUCUUCGGAGAAGAGCGGCGGACGGGUGAGUAACGCGUGGGUAACCUGCCCUAUACACACGGAUAACGUACCGAAAGGUACGCUAAUACGAGAUAAUAUGCUUUAGUCGCAUGGCUGAAGUAUCAAAGCUCCGGCGGUAUAGGAUGGACCCGCGUCUGAUUAGCUAGUUGGUAAGGUAAUGGCUUACCAAGGCGACGAUCAGUAGCCGACCUGAGAGGGUGAUCGGCCACAUUGGAACUGAGACACGGUCCAAACUCCUACGGGAGGCAGCAGUGGGGAAUAUUGCACAAUGGGCGAAAGCCUGAUGCCAGCAACGCCGCGUGAGCGAUGAAGGCCUUCGGGUCGUAAAGCUCUGUCCUCAAGGAAGAUAAUGACGGUACUUGAGGAGGAAGCCCCGGCUAACUACGUGCCAGCCGCCGC